RNAcentral lists this ribosomal RNA (403 nucleotides) under bacterium. RNAcentral describes it as "partial 16S ribosomal RNA". It matches the Rfam family "Bacterial small subunit ribosomal RNA", at positions 355 to 776 of the family's 1533-position model. The record is from RNAcentral.
UGGGGAAUAUUGCACAAUGGGGGAAACCCUGAUGCAGCGACGCCGCGUGAACGAAGAAGGUAUUCGUAUCGUAAAGUUCUGUCCUAUGGGAAGAUAAUGACAGUACCAUAGAAGAAAGCUCCGGCUAAAUACGUGCCAGCAGCCGCGGUAAUACGUAUGGAGCGAGCGUUGUCCGGAAUUAUUGGGCGUAAAGGGUACGCAGGCGGUUUAAUAAGUCGAAUGUUAAAGAUCGGGGCUCAACCCCGCAAAGCAUUGGAAACUGAUAAACUUGAGUAGUGGAGAGGAAAGUGGGAUUCCUAGUGUAGUGGUGAAAUACGUAGAUAUUAGGAGGAAUACCAGUAGCGAAGGCGACUUUCUGGACACAAACUGACGCUGAGGUACGAAAGCGUGGGGAGCAAACAGG